This is a long non-coding RNA of Homo sapiens (human), 630 nucleotides long. The record is from Ensembl. NCBI's taxonomy places the organism in Eukaryota, Metazoa, Chordata, Mammalia, Primates, Hominidae.
UCCUAGUUAUAUCACAUACUAACAAAAAAAAGAAUUCAACAAAAUGAGGAGAGAAACUAUCAUGGCACCAUCCUCAAGCAUGAACAAUUUCUAAGAGUCUGGAGAAAAGCAGGAGGGAAGGCAAACCACAAAGAAGAAACCUCAAAAUAGAAAAUGCCAUGAUCAUAUCAGAUUCCUUAUGGAUGACUUUCGCCUUUCCACCUGGAUAGCCCAGAUCAGCUUCAACCUAGAAAACAUUCAUCAGCAGUUUUAGUUGCUGCAGCACAGCUCUAUUUAGAGUUAUGCACAUCCCAUAAGAUUUAAAUGUAGGAUAAGAAGAAAAUGUAGCAGCAGCAGCAGCAGCAGCAGCAAGAAAAAAGGGUGACUGCCUUCCUUUCAUCACGAAGGGCCAUUCAAAUUUUCUGCCCAUGCCUCCAGGGACUCCCCUAUGGCUGCUGCAGCUGAUAAAGAUGCAUCCAAGAAAACUUCCAAGGAAUGGUCAAUGUGUGGCACAGCUAACUCAGUGAAGGCCAAACUGCUGAAGAAUCUAUUUGUCUUAACUAGCUGAAUUCACCAAUCUGUUUCCCAAAAACUUGUUUUGUGAAAUAUUUUCCUGUAAUAUCUUCAGUGAAUAAAAGAUCUUAUUCUUAU